This 391-nucleotide long non-coding RNA is filed under the name Gallus gallus (chicken). Lineage: Eukaryota; Metazoa; Chordata; Aves; Galliformes; Phasianidae. The record is from RNAcentral.
CGUUGAAGUAGAGUCAAAGACCAUGGUAGCCACUGGUGCUAUGUGCACUGCUUUCCACGUGCGCACACACCUGUUCUCUCGCCAAUUCCACUGCUUCAGCAGCAGGGCUCGGCUUCCUGUCACAAGAACCUCAUCGUCAGGGCUGAGAACAAACGAAGUGAUGUCCUCUUGGUCAUCCUGCUCAAGGCUGUGCAGCAGAGCUCCCGUUUCGACAUCGAUCACGUUCAGCUUGGUCCCACAGGGGCAGAACAUGAACUUCCCAUCCCGGCUUACCUGCACUCGCCCUCCUUUAUAGAACGGCUCGAUUCUCCUCGACACAGCAUAAUUGCUCUUGAAGCGCACCACGCUGCCCGCCGCCGUGGCGGCCAUGGCACCCCGCGCUCCGCGUGCA